Thalassophryne amazonica is the source of this 660-nucleotide long non-coding RNA. RefSeq lists it as uncharacterized. Lineage: Eukaryota; Metazoa; Chordata; Actinopteri; Batrachoidiformes; Batrachoididae. The record is from RefSeq and is a predicted model, not a curated record. The transcript has 3 exons.
CUCGAAUUUGCCAUCACUAGCUUGGAGUGCUGUUUUACUCUGAGUACCACUGCGGCUUACAGCUGCUGCUGUUCGCGGGCGUGUUUGGGCCACCAGCGUCUGAUUUGGGCGUGGCACUUUGUGCGCUCUUACGCACGUUGUCUGGAGGCUGGGAGUGCAGCUCCACUGGGGUCUUGAGCAGACCGGUGCGUCUUCUUACUGCGGGACCAGGCUGCACCUCCCGCGGUGGCUGCUGGGAACAGCUGCGUCGGCUUGAUAAUUUAGAGGCUGGCCACGCCUUGCGUAACUCCUCCUGCUGCUGACUUCCUGGAUCCUGGGUAUUUGACCAAGCUGCAUCUUGUUAACAGUCUGGUAACAAAUUGGACUUUGUACGGACAUUAUAGGGGUCACAAAGCCAGAGGUGGGCGGAAAAAAAAAGAGAAAUAACAUAUCGCGUGCUGGCUCUGUGAUCCACAUUUAUCCCACACCUGUAUUUUAUUGUUUGUUUUUUUUUUAAAUCAUCGCCCUACGUGUUUUAACUGUAAUAUAUUGGUGUUUGGUUUAUUUGCAUGUUCUUUUUUUGUGUGGAUGAGAGUUUUGUAAUUUUGAGUUUGGGUUUGUUUUUUUACUUUCAGUGUUUUUUUUUUCUAUAUUGGUAAAUGGGGUGACUUUAACUAAUCA